AUGCUUUCUCUGGAUGCACAUUUCAAUUUCAGUAAAUUGAAAUGAUAGAUUAGCAAGGCCUUGUGACAGAAUGACAUGCAAACUCAUGAAGUGUUCUGGUGUGUG
This 105-nucleotide small nuclear RNA is filed under the name Mus pahari (shrew mouse). RNAcentral's name for it is "predicted gene, 23205 (MGP_PahariEiJ_G0033320.1)". The record is from RNAcentral. Lineage: Eukaryota; Metazoa; Chordata; Mammalia; Rodentia; Muridae.